RNAcentral lists this non-coding RNA (29 nucleotides) under Mus musculus (house mouse). Lineage: Eukaryota; Metazoa; Chordata; Mammalia; Rodentia; Muridae. The record is from RNAcentral.
GUUGCUUAUCUUGCCUGGGACCUCACUGC